CAACUGUGGGCUCCCCUAUUUUAUUUUCUUAAGACAGUCUUUGGGCUUUCUCAUAUUUUUAUUAUUAUAGUAUGGACCUCCCCCUCUUGUAUUUUUUUUUCAUUCAUAUAAUUUUUUGUUUCUUUUUGUAAAGUUGGCAGGGACAGAUAAUUAGAAGACACCUACCAACUUGACAAUCAAUGCUUUGGCGAUCAUGACUGUCCCCAAAACAAAGAAAUUUGGGGGAUUAUUAAUUAGCACCGCUGAAUGACAUACGGAGUAGUUUGUAGACUUUCCAUGGCAGCUUUUGAUUUUGUGCCUAGUUCUAAACUUUUCCAAAGUAAAAGGCCUUGGAACACAUGAAUUAGCUGGUAAACGAAGCAAUAGCUAGCUGUAGAUACUUGAGUGAGUACUCUAGUUGAGUACAGUGCAUCAUAAACUCAAAACGAAUUAUUACAGAGAACUGCAAUUUAGAUCGCACAACUUGUGUAAGCUUGUCCCGGUAAUUAGUUAGAUUGUGAUUUGUAACCAUUGACAAAAUAUUCAACAAAAAAAGAAGUCACAUAUAAAAAUCCUCUGCCCAGUUUAUUAUGGAACUAGCUAGCUAGAUUGCGCAAAGUGGGGCAUGGAUGAUGCUCUUGAACGUACGUACAAACUACCUACGGUGCUCUUUAAUCAAAAUCUAGAAUUUUCAGAUAGUGAAGGGCACGCCGUGCU
Molecule: long non-coding RNA, 696 nt
Filed under: Brachypodium distachyon (stiff brome)
Lineage: Eukaryota; Viridiplantae; Streptophyta; Magnoliopsida; Poales; Poaceae
Description: long non-coding RNA (BDIS_LNC002416)
Source: RNAcentral